GCUUGAAUAGCUCAGUUGGUAGAGCAAUCGGCUGUUAACCGAUCGGUCGUAGGUCCGAGUCCUACUUCAAGCGCCA
This 76-nucleotide transfer RNA is filed under the name Thomasclavelia ramosa. RNAcentral describes it as "Erysipelatoclostridium ramosum tRNA-Asn". It matches the Rfam family "tRNA". Rfam says of the family: Transfer RNA (tRNA) molecules are approximately 80 nucleotides in length. Their secondary structure includes four short double-helical elements and three loops (D, anti-codon, and T loops). Lineage: Bacteria; Bacillati; Bacillota; Erysipelotrichia; Erysipelotrichales; Coprobacillaceae. The record is from RNAcentral.